Molecule: long non-coding RNA, 903 nt
Filed under: Mustela putorius furo (domestic ferret)
Lineage: Eukaryota; Metazoa; Chordata; Mammalia; Carnivora; Mustelidae
Description: lncRNA (ENSMPUG00000026685.1)
Source: RNAcentral
GACGCUGAGUGCAGGCGAAUUAUUUCCACUACUUCCUGCUAAUUUCAGCACUGCAUUCAUCCAAAGCUCUCGAAACUCUUAAUCAACAGGAAUAUGCUAACCUGAGACUGGGUCACAGAGGGACAGCUUGGAGAUCUGGGGGGGAUUGGUGACAGCUGCUGCCCUCUCUCUGAAGAGGAUUGAUGUGGAUAUCAUCAUGCUUGUUGACAGGAGGAGGGAGGAGCCGGACUUUUAAGGUCUCUUCCAAUCUGGGAAGGCUAUGAAUACCGCUACCAGCUGAGUGAUUCUCCAUGCUUUAUUCAUCACGAAAAUGACGCAAAUUCAGUAAAGCAGCUCUCUCGAAGCGAGAUGUCUUGCCUUUUUAUGGAAUAUUCCUCAGGCUCCAAGUGGGGGAAAAUGGCAGACACAUGGUUAUUUCCCAAAUACGUUUUCCUUAGAUGGUCUUCGUCAUCUGGGAAAAGUUGAUGAGAAACGGCUUCGCAUUCUGUUUCAGGACCCGUCAAACUCGGAGACUGUAAACAUCUCCAGGAGCAUUUUCUCAGUGACCAGAUGUUACACAGCUGCAUUGCAAAUUGUCGUCAGAGCUCAAAAGACAAGGGAAGAGAGGAUUGUUGGAACCACGAAGGCAUAUGACACAGUAAACGGUGCAUUUAAUUUCGACUUAAUGGGAGAGAUAGCGUGCAUUAGACAAAUACCAUCUGAUCAUUAAAAACAUAUUUAUGGAAGUAUAGCAACUUUGUCAGGGAUGUGUGACUAAUCACACCGAGCUGUGAGUCCUCAAAAACAUAUUUGUCUUAAUCGACUGGUGUUUAGUUUGGAUUAUUGACUGUUAAAUCAAAAUAGAAGUUUUCACUUGAGAUUUUGCAUUUCAUUUGUGACUGAUUCGUCUUCAUCAGAUACCCG